AUUGAACGCUGGCGGCAUGCUUUACACAUGCAAGCCGAACGGUAACAGGUUAAGCUGACGAGUGGCGAACGGGUGAGUAAUGCAUCGGAACGUGCCCGAUCGUGGGGGAUAACGCAGCGAAAGCUGCGCUAAUACCGCAUACGAUCUGAGGAUGAAAGCGGGGGACCGUAAAGCCUCGCGCGAUCGGAGCGGCCGAUGUCAGGUUAGGUAGUUGGUGGGGUAAAGGCCUACCAAGCCGACGAUCUGUAGCUGGUCUGAGAGGACGACCAGCCACACAGGGCCUGAGACACGGCCCAGUCUGCCGAGGGAGGGAGCAGUGGGGAAUUUUGGACCAUGGGCGCAAGCCUGAUCCAGCAAUGCGGCGUGCAGGAGGAAGGCCAUCGGGUUGUAAGCUGCUUUUGUACGGGGCGAAAAGGCUCUCUCUAAUACAGGGGGCUCAUUCCGGUACCGUAAGAAUGAGCACCGGCUAACUACGUGCCUGCCGCCGCUGUAU
RNAcentral lists this ribosomal RNA (493 nucleotides) under uncultured bacterium. RNAcentral's name for it is "partial 16S ribosomal RNA". It matches the Rfam family "Bacterial small subunit ribosomal RNA", at positions 29 to 523 of the family's 1533-position model. The record is from RNAcentral.